UUUCCGUAGGUGAACCUGCGGAAGGAUCAUUAUCGUACAAAAUGUGAGGGGCAUGCGAGGGCUGUCGCUGACCCCAAAGCCGUGCACGCCCGAGUGUGUCCUCUUGCAUAAUAAUCCAUCUCACCCUUUGUGCAUCACCGCGUGGGCACCCUUCGGGAUCAUCUCGGAGGGGGGCUCGCGUUUUCACACAAACCCCCCUUUUAAAAGUGUAGAAUGACCACAUUUAUGCAAUCAAUACAACUUUCAACAACGGAUCUCUUGGCUCUC
Molecule: unclassified non-coding RNA, 267 nt
Filed under: plant metagenome
Description: partial contains small subunit ribosomal RNA, internal transcribed spacer 1, and 5.8S ribosomal RNA
Source: RNAcentral